Molecule: ribosomal RNA, 254 nt
Filed under: uncultured bacterium
Lineage: Bacteria
Description: partial 16S ribosomal RNA
Rfam family: Bacterial small subunit ribosomal RNA
Source: RNAcentral
UACGAAGGGGGCUAGCGUUGUUCGGAAUCACUGGGCGUAAAGCGCACGCAGGCGGAUCGUUAAGUCAGGGGUGAAAUCCCGAGGCUCAACCUCGGAACUGCCUUUGAUACUGGCGAUCUUUGAGUCCGGGAGAGGUGAGUGGAACUCCGAGUGUAGAGGUGAAAUUCGUAGAUAUUCGGAAGAACACCAGUGGCGAAGGCGGCUCACUGGCCCGGUUCUGACGCUGAGGCGCGAAAGCGUGGGGAGCAAACAGG